AAGAGUAAAGUACUUCCGCUUCCUUAGGUGGAGCUGGAAAGGUGGAGGCGGAAGUGACUGAUCAAUUCAGGGGCGUGGGGUUCGUUUAGGUUUUGCCCUGUGUAUGACCUCGUUUGGAGCCAUGAAACCAGGUCUGUGAAAUUUAGUGUCUAUUUUCUACCAUAACACAUGUUAAUUUGGACUAACCACAUUUCGAGUGCUCAGUAGCCACAUGUGGCUAGCGACUACUAUCUUGAGCAAUGCAACGAUAAGUCUGCACUUACGUUCAAAAAGACUUAAAGCAGGGAUCGACAACCCCCAGGCCACAGACUGGUAUGGAUCCAUGGCCUGUUAAGAACUGUGCCACACAGCAGGAGGUCACCAUGUGUGAUGACUACAUCCAAAGAGAGUGAGUGGCUUGAGACAUUGGUAGUAUGUGUAUCUGAUCAUAUCAAUAUGUUAAAAUGACGUUCAAAGUAUGAUCUACCUCAGAAUAAUCUAGCCUCAAGCUUUAUUCUAGGAAGGUAAUUCUGAAGAUACCUAUCUUCUUGAGAGUGAAAUUUUAUGGAAUCCUAGAUUUCUCAUACCUAGGAAUAACAAUACAAGGGACAGAAUAGUUAGCAGUGUUCCUGUUGAAAGGUCCAAGUAUCUCCCUAGGCACAGAAAACACCCAAAUGAGCAAAGCAGACCUUGGUGGCCAGAGGGGAGCCCUCAGGUAGAGCUGCAGAUGCUGGCAGUUUGUGUUAGAAGGUUCCGGGGCUAAACAGAUGCCUAGAAUUAGCCACCAAAAGGUAAAUUGUAGACUCCACUCUUCAAGAAGCAGCAGAAGGAUUAGGAAUUCAAACAGUGCUAUUUUACGGUCAUAAGAACAGACAGUAUUUUUUUGGCGCAGCAAGAACUUCUUAGGCCAUAAAGCAUGACAGACCUCUUUUCCUUAUGCGCUGAAUUGAAGAAGUGCUGACUCUUUUGCUGAUGGUGGCUUUUCUACAAUAUAAAGAUGGAAAUGGGAAGAAGAUGUUCAUUGCAAAUUAAGGAAGCUCUUCCACGAGUUCACGAAUGGAAAUAACAUCAAGAGUUUUUCAUCUUCUUAGUGUGCAAGAUGUCUGAGGAAUAGUCUUAGUGGAUUAUCCCAAACUUGACACAUUUUUUGCAAAAUGCUAUACAAAAAGAAGAUACAUGCGAUUAUGACAAGAUUCUCCACUUGGUGUGACCAGUCUCAUACAACCCAAGGCUGUGUGUCCAAAGGCAACUGUACUGCACAUGACAGAAUUGCUCUGUUGAAGUUUUGCAAGGUCAAAUGACUCACUUUGUCUAAUGGAACGGGAACGAACAAUUUUUUUGUGUCACGUUUGAACAGAUACCUUUGAGAAGUUUAUGAUUCUCCAAGUUCUCUUUCUCCUACUGUGGCACCUACUGACAAGAUAAAUGUGUAGAGGUUCCUGAGUCUAGGGGCACUGGAACCAGCUGACUGAUCUAUGGAAGUUCCCUUGGUCUCCAUUUGUUUAGAAAAGGGACUGGUCAAAGGCUGACGUUUGCUUUUGGUGACAUUGCAUUAAUUGUCUCCCAUGAGACUGCUAGGGUGCUGAAGGGAUGAAGAAACUGAGGCCCACAGAAGGUGGGUGAUACCUGCAAAAUCACAAGCUUUCAUGGUGAAAGAAGAGGGCAAAACUCAACCCGUCUCUUUAGACUUGGGAAGAAUAUGAAAGGACCAGGAGGGACACCUUUCCUAAUAACCUAGCUGAUGGUUCACUUAUUGUAAGCACAUUCUCAAACAAGAGGCUGGAAAGCUGAAAAAUGACAUUCCCAGACUCCAUUGAAAUUAGAUUUCCAGAGGUGAUUUAUGUUCCACACAUCAGAUGUAUAUGCUCAAGAUUUGUUUAACAGGGAAGGAGGCAGUGGUGUGUGGGUCCCUUUUGCUCAUGUGAAUCUUACAGAGUUGUCUCACUAAGCCCAAAUUUGUCUAACUGGCCUUAUUUCCCUGGAGUAUAUCCUGGAAGUUUCCAUUCAAGCCAAUUUAAGUUACUUUAAAUUAGGAAAGGCAGAAAACAAAAGCCCAAACCUUUGUAAAGGAGGAGGAUUUGCUACAUUGUUCUCAAUUCAUCACAGAAGAGGAUGAAACUGAGUGAUUACACUUGCUGGAGAGAAAAAAAGUCCUUCCCCCGCUCACCCCAAAUAAAGCAUUAACUUUAUGUUAAUCCAUGAA
RNAcentral lists this long non-coding RNA (2182 nucleotides) under Homo sapiens (human). RNAcentral describes it as "PREDICTED lncRNA (TCONS_00005050)". The record is from RNAcentral. Lineage: Eukaryota; Metazoa; Chordata; Mammalia; Primates; Hominidae.